UGAAUAGAAUCUAAUAAAUAGAGUUACAGUGAUAGUGUAUUUAAGCAAUUAUGCCUAUUCAA
Molecule: transfer RNA, 62 nt
Filed under: Capillaria sp. cat-2018
Lineage: Eukaryota; Metazoa; Nematoda; Enoplea; Trichinellida; Capillariidae
Description: tRNA-Ile
Source: RNAcentral